UUUCGCAAUGCCCGAAAGGGUGACGAAGCGACGCCGCGUGAGUGAGGAAGGCCUUCGGGUUGUAAAGCUCUGUCAGGAGUUAAGAAAUAUAAGUGUGUUAAUACCACAUUUAUUUGACGAAGGCUCCAAAGGAAGCCACGGCUAACUCUGUGCCAGCAGCCGCGGUAAUACAGAGGUGGCAAGCGUUGUUCGGAAUUAUUGGGCGUAAAGAGCACGUAGGUGGGUUUGUAAGUCAGAUGUGAAAGCCUUCUGUUCAACGGAAGAAUUGCAUCUGAAACUGCGAGUCCUGAGUGUAGGAGGGGAGAAUGGAACUUCUGGUGGAGCGGUGAAAUGCGUAGAUAUCAGAAGGAACGCCGGCGGCGAAAGCGAUUCUCUGGCCUAUUACUGACACUCGGUGUGCGAAAGCUAGGGGAGCAAACGGGAUUAGAUACCCCGGUAGUCCUAGCUGUAAACGAUGGGCACUAAGUAGAGGGGUUUUA
This 479-nucleotide ribosomal RNA is filed under the name uncultured anaerobic ammonium-oxidizing bacterium. RNAcentral describes it as "bacterial SSU rRNA". It matches the Rfam family "Bacterial small subunit ribosomal RNA", at positions 364 to 833 of the family's 1533-position model. The record is from RNAcentral.